GACGAACGCUGGCGGCGUGCUUAACACAUGCAAGUCGAACGGAAAGGCCUGCUUUCCCUUGUGGCCUGCGGGUACUCGAGUGGCGAACGGGUGAGUAACACGUGAGUGAUCUUCCCCCAACUUGGGUAUAAGCCUGGGAAACUGGGUCUAAUUCCCGACAGGACUGCAGGGUGGUGCCUGUGGUUGAAAACGAUUUUCUAGUGGUUGGGGAUGAGCGCGCGGCCUAUCAGCUUGUUGGUGGGGGAAUGGCCUACCAAGGCGGCGACGGGUAGCCGGCCUGGGGGGGUGGGCCGGCGAGUUGGGACUGCGAUACGGCCACGGAGAGACCGGGCGGCAGCAGUGGGGAGUAAUGAGCGAUGAGCGGUAGCCUGAGGCAGCGACGCCGCGGGGGCAAUGCCGGGUUUCGGGUGGUAAACUCCUUUCGAUCGCGAGGUAGCCACCGGGUUGGAAGGGUGGUGACGGUAGUGGGAAAAGAAGCACCGGCUAACUACGUG
RNAcentral lists this ribosomal RNA (494 nucleotides) under uncultured bacterium. RNAcentral's name for it is "partial 16S ribosomal RNA". It matches the Rfam family "Bacterial small subunit ribosomal RNA", at positions 28 to 507 of the family's 1533-position model. The record is from RNAcentral.